AUUGAACGCUGGCGGCAGGCCUAACACAUGCAAGUCGAGCGGGCGGCGGACGGGUGAGUAAGGUAUAGGGACUGCCCGAUAGAGGGGGAUAACUACUGGAAACGGUAGCUAAUACCACAUACUAUCGGAUAGCACAUAUGGGAUUAGCUAGUAGGUGAGGUAAGGGCACACCUAGGCGACGAUCCCUAGCUGGUCUGGGAGGAUGAUCAGCCACACCGGUACUGAGCCCCGGCCCCGCCUCCGACGGAGGCAGCACUGGAGAAUAUUGCACAAUGGACGCAAGCCUGGUGCGGCCCUGCCGCGUGUAUUAAGGAGGCCCUAGGGUUGUAGAGUUCUUCCAGUCGGGAGGCGUUACCGACUGAAGAAGCACCGUCUAACUCCGUGCCAGCAGCCGCGGUAAUAC
RNAcentral lists this ribosomal RNA (403 nucleotides) under uncultured bacterium. RNAcentral describes it as "partial 16S ribosomal RNA". It matches the Rfam family "Bacterial small subunit ribosomal RNA", at positions 30 to 526 of the family's 1533-position model. The record is from RNAcentral.